This 2368-nucleotide long non-coding RNA is filed under the name Mytilus galloprovincialis (Mediterranean mussel). Lineage: Eukaryota; Metazoa; Mollusca; Bivalvia; Mytilida; Mytilidae. The record is from RNAcentral.
GGCGCCUUUAGCAUUGGAAAGCUAGUGAUUUUUGUAGAUGAACUAUGUAGUACAAUGUAAGUUAAAGAGGCCUCUAAUAUCUGGAUGAAGUGGACGUUCUGAGGCAACAAAUUUUAAAACAGACUCAAUGAUAUGUGAAAAUAUUUAUUUUCUGUUAAUGGCUACAAGUAUGGCAGAUGCCAUUUAUCUAGUUAACAAUAUAGUCUGUGUACUACGAAAAACUAGACUCUGUACAAUAGAUGUAAUUGUCUCCCUUUGUAACAGAUGGUGUUAUUUCCCCUUAAUAACAAUGCUGUAGUUCUUCUGAGGUCUGACCUUCAAACAACCAAUCAAAAUGGUUAAAGUAUGACAUAUACUAAAAUAAGAUGCAAUCUUUUGUGAAAAGUGAAGAAAAAAAUAUUUAAAAAUGAUGAGUAUAAUUUCAAAUGACCUUUCCUAAUACUGAAUUUUGAAUCAUAUUCUAAAUUUUUAUUAUAAAUUUGAAAAAUUGUUUGCAAGCAAAAAAAUACAGUAUAGAUAUGUUUCCUAAAAGCGAUAGCGUAAAUAUUGAAUGAAUCUGCGAUGAAAUGAGCCUAGAUCAGAGAAUAAAAAGAACACCCUGUACUUGUAAAUAAUGCGUGCCAUUUGAAGGUCAGGCCCUCCAUCAGACGUAAACAUGAAAAGUAAUAUAAAAAGAAUAAUGAGUAACAAAAAUGACAUAACAAACAAAAAAUAUAUAUGAACAAUAGAAUAUAGAGAAACUACUAUAUAUAAGAUAGACAUAUAUAAAUUUUUACAUAAAUUUAGGAUCCUCUUCUGUAGAUCAAAAUGUAUAAUACUUCAGAAAAAAAUGUAAUUCAUACUUCCCAGAAAAAAUAUUAUUUCCAAAUUAUCUCCCUUUUUUGUCUAAUCACAUGGCCCCUUACAACAUAAUAAAAAAAACUCAGAACCGGUAAAGAACUGUUUUAUCACACUUUAUCUGGAAUAUUUUUGUCACCAAAUAAAAACAAGCACCUGUUUUAGUUAUUUUUCUUCGAAAUUUUACUUCAUCUUCUGGUAUUAGUUCCUGUUAAUGCUAAUAGAUUUUGAAUGACUGCCUUUAACAAAUGUCACUUCUACUUGAAGCUAAUGUUAACAAAUAUAAAAUAAAUGUUUCAUAAUAUGAGUCACUAGAAUGUUCUAGCCAUAAUAAAAAAAUCUAAUACAAAAAAUAAAUAGAUUUUUGAAAAAUUUCUAACAGAAAAGUGACUUCAUUAGUUUAUCUCGAACAUUUCUUAUUUCAUUGACAAAUAAUUAAAACAUUUUCAAACUUUCUUUCUUUUUCUUAAUCUAUUUUUAAAACUAAUGUGCACCAAAAAAGGAACCAACUAUUAUUCUAAAACAAUUUGAAAACCAAAUAAAGUAAAUCUUAGUUUCAAUUAAAUUACAUUUACGAAAUUAUAAUCUAACACCUAAAAUAUUCUAGAAGUCAUUCAAAACCCACCAUCAUCAACAGAAAACCUUUUAAAAAAAUUAGAAAAAACAAAAACAAUCAAGAAGCUUCUUCUUUCAACUGGAUUCAGUUCUAAAACAAAACAUUAACAACUUGUGUCUGGUAUCUAAAAUAUAUAUACAACAAGCAGGACUUGAAUAUAAACACAUUCUCACUGAAUUAUAGUCCUUUCUAUACAUACAACUUCAAAAUGGUGAACAAUUCAAAAUUUAAACCAGUAAUUAUUUUACUGUAAAAGCAUGAUUGUCUCCCUUACACUGAUUAACAGAUUUUGUAGUUUGUUGUGUUACUUUUUCUAAAAUGAAAAUCUUCUUGUUUAUACAUAUAUACACAGUACUUAAACAUAUAUAUUGUUUUUUCUAUGUUUUGCUGUAAAAGUUCACCAAAAAAAAAAAAUUAUUCUACUUGAAACUUUUGAAUUAUUGACCAUUUUGAUUUCAAUUCUGAUGUAUUUCUUAACUCCUUAGCAACAAUACCACCAACAAAAAUUACAGCUGAUCCCAUUAUAAUUGGUCUACAUUUGCACAGUAAAACCUUACCCUCAAAUUCACCUCAGCGGCAACAUGUGUCAAGGUCAAAAUAAUUCUUUACAUGUAAACAUUGUCACAGACUCUGCAGCCAACAUAUGUAUACCGUUAACAGAUAUGUGUUUGAAAUGUUGCUUUUUAUAUCCUUACAUUUCUAAAUCCUAAAAUAUCCUACCAAACAUUCAAAGCCAAAUGACCAUGACUAAUGCAAGGUUAUUUUUGCUGGGAAAGAGUAAAAAAAUGUUUUGAGAACCUCCUAUAAAGUUGAAGUCUUACAAUGAGACAGCUUGUAAACCGUAUGUUUGCAAAUAAUAUUUUACGUAAAUUUGGUACUUUUUAAAAAAUAUUUCAAGACAAAAUUUCAAUUCUU